AUGCUGCACCCUUGUAGAACUUCUACAGAAACCGUGAUCACAAUCUGCCAAACAACGAUGGAAAGAUCUCUGAUUUCAGUUCCUGGAAAGCAUCCAGAUCAGCAAGAAACCGAAGUAGAUCACAACGAUGAAAGGCCUGAAACAAGAUGUGGUUGUGAUGCCCGUAUGAAGAUCAGCCUUAGAAAUGGAUUUUAUUAUGUGUAUGCAUUCAAGGCGUCACAUAACCACACUCUUGCUCAUGGAAUCAUGGACCGAUACUUGAGAUCCCAGAGAAAAGUCAUAGAAGCACAGAUAGCAAAUGCAGAGGUCGCAAAGUCAGUUGGCAUUUCAAGUAAAGCAACAAUCGGUUUGAUGGCCAAAGAAGCAGGUGGAAGUGAAAACCUUGGCUUUAGACCUCAAGAUAUGAAAAAUUGUUUGCACUCAAAGAGAACAAUAAAGCGCAGGUAG
This 447-nucleotide ribosomal RNA is filed under the name Triticum aestivum (bread wheat). RNAcentral describes it as "partial small subunit ribosomal RNA". The record is from RNAcentral. Lineage: Eukaryota; Viridiplantae; Streptophyta; Magnoliopsida; Poales; Poaceae.